GCCAUGUGAGGACUUGGUCAGUCCAACACUCAGUUAGUUUUAGAAUCUCCACUGUGGGGACCCUCAGGAUUACCCAACCCAGCCACGCACAUGAUACCUGGAGAUGACUUAUUGGCAUAACCCUGGAGCACAAAAUGAUAGUAGAUGUGUAUCUGAGAUACAGCCUAUUGAUGUAUUGAAAACAACCUGAAAUACCAUCUUCUGAAAUACAUUCUGGAAGAUAUAUGAAUUGGAUCUGAAAUAUUGCAGCAGGUGCUAAAGGCUUGGUCACCAGCCUGGGGUGCUGUGGGAGGGAGCGGAGCCUUUAGGAGGCGGGGCCUGGUGGGAAGAAGCGAGGUCACAGAGGUAUGGCCUGGAAGGGGAUAUCAGGACACCUCUU
Molecule: long non-coding RNA, 379 nt
Filed under: Chinchilla lanigera (long-tailed chinchilla)
Lineage: Eukaryota; Metazoa; Chordata; Mammalia; Rodentia; Chinchillidae
Description: lncRNA (ENSCLAG00000027298.1)
Source: RNAcentral